This 432-nucleotide ribosomal RNA is filed under the name uncultured bacterium. RNAcentral's name for it is "bacterial SSU rRNA". It matches the Rfam family "Bacterial small subunit ribosomal RNA", at positions 28 to 477 of the family's 1533-position model. The record is from RNAcentral.
GACGAACGCUGGCGGCGUGCUUAACACUUGCAAGUCGAACGGUAAGGCCCUUCGGGGUACACGAGUGGCGAACGGGUGAGUAACACGUGGGUAAUCUGCCCUGCACUUCGGGAUAAGCCUGGGAAACUGGGUCUAAUACCGGAUAUUCAGCUUCUGCCGCAUGGUGGUUGUUGGAAAGUUUUUCGGUGCAGGAUGUGCCCGCGGCCUAUCAGCUUGUUGGUGGGGUAAUGGCCUACCAAGGCGACGACGGGUAGCCGGCCUGAGAGGGUGAUCGGCCACAUUGGGACUGAGACACGGCCCAGACUCCUACGGGAGGCAGCAGUGGGGAAUAUUGCACAAUGGGCGCAAGCCUGAUGCAGCGACGCCGCGUGAGGGAUGACGGUCUUCGGAUUGUAAACCUCUUUCGGCAGGGACGAAGCGCAAGUGACGGUA